RNAcentral lists this microRNA (21 nucleotides) under Schistosoma japonicum. RNAcentral's name for it is "miRNA-3070". Lineage: Eukaryota; Metazoa; Platyhelminthes; Trematoda; Strigeidida; Schistosomatidae. The record is from RNAcentral.
UAGGAGCCGGCUCAGUGGUCU